Molecule: transfer RNA, 60 nt
Filed under: Dipodomys ordii (Ord's kangaroo rat)
Lineage: Eukaryota; Metazoa; Chordata; Mammalia; Rodentia; Heteromyidae
Rfam family: tRNA
About the family: Transfer RNA (tRNA) molecules are approximately 80 nucleotides in length.
Source: Rfam by way of RNAcentral
GUGACUCAGUGGUAGAGUGCUUGCCUUGCAUGCAUGAGGCCCUGGGUUUGAUUCCCCAGC